AUUGAACGCUGGCGGCAGGCCUAACACAUGCAAGUCGAGCGAGCGGCGGACGGGUGAGUAAUGUAUGGGGACUGCCCGAUAGAGGGGGAUAACUACUGGAAACGGUAGCUAAUACCGCAUACUAUCGGAUAACCCAUAUGGGAUUAGCUAGUAGGUGAGGUAAUGGCUCACCUAGGCGACGAUCCCUUGCUGGUCUGAGAGGAUGAUCAGCCACGCUGGGACUGAUACACGGCCCAGACUCCGAGGGAGGCCGCAGUGGGGAAUAUUGCACAAUGGGCGCAAGCCUGAUGCAGCCAUGCCGCGUGUAUGAUGAAGGCCUUCGGGUUGUAAAGGACUUUUGGCAGGGAAGCGGUAUCUGCAGAAUAAGCACCGGCUAACUACGUGCCAGCAGCCGCGGUAAUAC
Molecule: ribosomal RNA, 403 nt
Filed under: uncultured bacterium
Lineage: Bacteria
Description: partial 16S ribosomal RNA
Rfam family: Bacterial small subunit ribosomal RNA
Source: RNAcentral